GAGGAAUAUUGGUCAAUGGGCGCAAGCCUGAACCAGCCAUGCCGCGUGCAGGAAGACGGUCCUAUGGAUUGUAAACUGCUUUUAUUUGGGAAUAAACUCCGGUACGUGUACCGGCCUGAAGGUACCAAAUGAAUAAGCACCGGCUAACUCCGUGCCAGCAGCCGCGGUAAUACGGAGGGUGCAAGCGUUAUCCGGAAUCAUUGGGUUUAAAGGGUCCGCAGGCGGUCUUAUAAGUCAGUGGUGAAAGCCUACAGCUCAACUGUAGAACUGCCAUUGAUACUGUAGGACUUGAAUUCGAUCGAAGUGGGCGGAAUGUGACAUGUAGCGGUGAAAUGCUUAGAUAUGUCACAGAACACCGAUAGCGAAGGCAGCUCACUAGGUCUGGAUUGACGCUCAGGGACGAAAGCGUGGGGAGCAAAC
Molecule: ribosomal RNA, 420 nt
Filed under: uncultured bacterium
Lineage: Bacteria
Description: bacterial SSU rRNA
Rfam family: Bacterial small subunit ribosomal RNA
Source: RNAcentral